CCACAACUUAUCAUGCAGGUUCAAGCGAAUUGGUGAUUUCCGUUGUUACUCGUGUGGCUGCUCUCCUUCUGCUGUGUGUUGGUGGCUACUGCUGCUACAAAUGCAUUUCUCACUGUAACAAUAAAACAAAGGACAGUGCAAACAGUCCCACAACUGCAGGUACUGAGGGAGCAGAAAAAUGAAGAGCCACUGAAACUUUCCUCCUCUUCAUUUUCAUCUUCAAAAGAAGAAAAAACCCCAAAAAGAAGAAAUAGAAGACAACAGACAAGCA
Pelmatolapia mariae (spotted tilapia) is the source of this 271-nucleotide long non-coding RNA. RefSeq lists it as uncharacterized. The transcript is spliced from 3 exons. NCBI's taxonomy places the organism in Eukaryota, Metazoa, Chordata, Actinopteri, Cichliformes, Cichlidae. The record is from RefSeq and is a predicted model, not a curated record.